CGAGUAAGCGAGGCAAUCGCCGGUGCAGCACCGAAAGGUCGCACGGGAGGAAAGUCCGAGCUCCACAGGGCGUGGUGCUGGGUAACCCCCAGUGGGAGCAAUCCUAAGGAAAGUGCCACAGACAUGGAGACCGCCGAUGGAAGCAGUGAUGCUUCACAGGCAAGGAUGCAACGGUGCGGUAAGAGCGCACCAGCGGCGCGGUGACGCGUCGGCUAGGUAAACCCCACCUGGAGCAAGACCGCAUAGGAGUGCAUUGUGGUGACCCGCCACGCACUCGGGUAGGUUGCUUGAGCGGCGCAGAGAUGCGUCGCCUAGAUAGAUGAUUGCCGCCUCGAUCCGUGCGAGGCCAUGAACUUGAUGGCUGACUGAGUACGUGAGGAGACAGAACUCGGCUUAUUGCUUGCUCGCGCA
This 411-nucleotide RNase P RNA is filed under the name Ferroacidibacillus organovorans. Its description in RNAcentral is "Acidibacillus ferrooxidans bacterial RNase P". It matches the Rfam family "Bacterial RNase P class A". Rfam says of the family: Ribonuclease P (RNase P) is a ubiquitous endoribonuclease, found in archaea, bacteria and eukarya as well as chloroplasts and mitochondria. Its best characterised activity is the generation of mature 5'-ends of tRNAs by cleaving the 5'-leader elements of precursor-tRNAs. Cellular RNase Ps are ribonucleoproteins. Lineage: Bacteria; Bacillati; Bacillota; Bacilli; Caryophanales; Alicyclobacillaceae. The record is from RNAcentral.